Molecule: ribosomal RNA, 500 nt
Filed under: uncultured bacterium
Lineage: Bacteria
Description: partial 16S ribosomal RNA
Rfam family: Bacterial small subunit ribosomal RNA
Source: RNAcentral
GAUGAACGCUAGCGGCAGGCCUAACACAUGCAAGUCGAACGGUAACAGGUGUUGCAAUACAUGCUGACGAGUGGCGCACGGGUGCGUAACACGUAUGUAACGUGCCUCUAACUGGGGAAUAGCUUCGAGAAAUCGAAAUUAAUGUCCCAUAGUAAUUCGGUUCGGGAUCGAACUGAAUUUAAGACUCCGGUGGUUAGAGAUAGACAUGCGGCCUAUUAGCUUGUUGGUGAGGUAACGGCUCACCAAGGCUACGAUAGGCAGUGGGCCUCCGAGGGUUUACCCCCACACUGGAACUGAGACACGGUCCAGACUCCUACGGGAGGCAUCAGUGAGGAAUAUUGGUCAAUGGUCGCAAGACUGAACCCGCCAUGCCGCGUGCAGGAUGAAUGCCCUGUGGGUUGUAAACUGCUUUUCUCUGGGAAUAAACCCCCCUACGUGUAGAGGGCUGAAGGUACCAGAGGAAUAAGGACCGGCUAACUUCGUGCCAGCAGCCGCCGUAA